Molecule: ribosomal RNA, 398 nt
Filed under: uncultured bacterium
Lineage: Bacteria
Description: partial 16S ribosomal RNA
Rfam family: Bacterial small subunit ribosomal RNA
Source: RNAcentral
AUACGUAGGGUGCGAGCGUUGUCCGGAAUUACUGGGCGUAAAGAGCUCGUAGGUGGUUUGUCGCGUCGUCUGUGAAAUUCCGGGGCUUAACUCCGGGCGUGCAGGCGAUACGGGCAUAACUUGAGUACUGUAGGGGAGACUGGAAUUCCUGGUGUAGCGGUGAAAUGCGCAGAUAUCAGGAGGAACACCGGUGGCGAAGGCGGUUCUCGGGGCAGUAACUGACGCUGAGGAGCGAAAGCAUGGGUAGCGAACAGGAUUAGAUACCCUGGUAGUCCAUGCCGUAAACGGUGGGCGCUAGGUGUAGGGGUCUUCCACGACUUCUGUGCCGUAGCUAACGCAUUAAGCGCCCCGCCUGGGGAGUACGGCCGCAAGGCUAAAACUCAAAUGAAUUGACGGGG